GACGAACGCUGGCGGCGUGCUUAACACAUGCAAGUCGAGCGGUAAGGCCCUUUCGGGGGUACACGAGCGGCGAACGGGUGAGUAACACGUGGGUGACCUGCCCUUAGCUCUGGGAUAAGCCUGGGAAACUGGGUCUAAUACCGGAUAUGACCUCAUGACUCAUGUUGUGGGGUGGAAAGCCUUGUGCGGCUAGGGAUGGGCCCGCGGUCUAUCAGCUUGUUGGUGGGGUAAUUGCCUACCAAGGCGACGACGGGUAGCCGGCCUGAGAGGGCGACCGGCCACACUGGGACUGAGACACGGCCCAGACUCCUACGGGAGGCAGCAGUGGGGAAUCUUGCGCAAUGGGCGAAAGCCUGACGCAGCGACGCCGCGUGAGGGAUGACGGCCUCGGUUGUAA
RNAcentral lists this ribosomal RNA (397 nucleotides) under uncultured bacterium. RNAcentral describes it as "bacterial SSU rRNA". It matches the Rfam family "Bacterial small subunit ribosomal RNA", at positions 28 to 428 of the family's 1533-position model. The record is from RNAcentral.